Molecule: ribosomal RNA, 514 nt
Filed under: uncultured bacterium
Lineage: Bacteria
Description: bacterial SSU rRNA
Rfam family: Bacterial small subunit ribosomal RNA
Source: RNAcentral
GAUCAUGGCUCAGAACGAACGCUGGCGGCGCGUCUUAAGCAUGCAAGUCGGACGGCAAGGGUAGCAAUACCCCCUAGAGUGGCGGACUGGUGAGUAACGCGUGGGUGACCUGCCCUUGAGAUGGGGAUAGCCAUUAGAAAUAGUGGAUAAUACCGAAUACGCUCUAUGGACUAUGGUUUGUAGAGGAAAUCAGGCUACGGCCUGGCUCGAGGAUGGGCCCGCGUCCCAUUAGCUAGUUGGUGAGGUAACGGCCCACCAAGGCGACGAUGGGUAUCCGGCCUGAGAGGGUGUACGGACACAUUGGGACUGAGAUACGGCCCAAACUCCUACGGGAGGCAGCAGCUAAGAAUAUUCCGCAAUGGACGAAAGUCUGACGGAGCGACGCCGCGUGGAUGAAGAAAGGCCGAAAGGUUGUAAAAUCCUUUUGCUGAUGAAGAAUAAGUGGUGUAGGGAAUGACAUCAUGAUGACAUUAGUCGGUGAAUAAGCCCCGGCUAACUACGUGCCAGCCGCCGC